Felis catus (domestic cat) is the source of this 2367-nucleotide long non-coding RNA. RefSeq lists it as uncharacterized. The transcript is spliced from 6 exons. The record is from RefSeq and is a predicted model, not a curated record. NCBI's taxonomy places the organism in Eukaryota, Metazoa, Chordata, Mammalia, Carnivora, Felidae.
CUUUGACAUUCCAAGACCUUCAAACAAAUCCACUGGGAGGGGAACACGAUGGUUCUGGUCCCUGUAGAGCUUUCCACACCAGGCUGUUAAGCAGUACCUGUCGACUUGCCGGUAGAACAGAAAUGCCACAGAAACGUCUGCCCCUUUGGCUCCUUGCCACCUCCCAGGGCCCAGGACCUUCCCAACACAGGCGUUUGUGAAAUUUUCUGGAUUGCUGCUGGGAUCUUUUCAUGCUUGAUAUGGAUUUAUUCUUUUGCAUGUAUUUACUGUUAUUUCAAUAAGACUUGGGAAGAAGGAGAGGUAAAGUAGGCCCAAGGUACCCUUUUGACCUUCAGCAUUUAUUUUGAAAAAUUUGAAAUGAACAAAUAUUUCUUCAGUGAACAACUAGGAGACCUUCUGGUUCAGAAUACUUUCACCGGGACUACCUUGACAAGUUCAUGUGUCCAUGAGAUGAGAAUAGAGGAAAAAAAGUACAGGAACAAGUUCCGGCGAUGAGAAGAAGAAUGACAGAGGCAUUCCAUAAUUUAUCUUAAGGCGGCAAUAAUUUGUGUGUCUGGAGACGCGCUUUGCAGGGAAAAGAAUCAAGACUCGCUGAGAGAUGCUUGGUCAGAUCAUUCUUCACUGCUUGGGGGCCGGCAACAGUGCACAGAUCCACAUGACCUCCCGGAAACCGGGCAAGUCCCUACUCCACCAGAGUCGGACUAGACCUCUUGGUCCCAUCAGCCUCUCGUCUAUAGACAUUUUUCCUCGUGGACUGUGGUGGCCCCCUAAACCUGGAAAACUCCUAUUCAUCCUUCAGGACCCAGCCAGUGCCUCCUUCUUACACAGGCCGCAGAAGAGGAGGUCGCUUCUGUUGCAUUUCCCCAGCCUCCGGUCUGGAAGGAGAAACACAAUUCAGCAAGGUUCCCUUCUCCGGCUCCGGCCCCACCUGUCACUAGGGGAGCCUCAGCCGCCCGACCUUCCACGGCUUCCUUCUGUAGUUUUCCUGAGUGUCUCCAGAAGGUGUCCUCUGUGUGCUCUCCUGUGGGCAGCUGUUUAUCUCCCGCAUGGCAUUUGUCAGCGCCCUUCUCCGCGGAGGGGGAGCAGGCUGCGGGGUACCCCCCCCCCCCCGGCUGCUGUCCGUGUCCCAGUGGUGUAACUGAGGCCACAGCACAGCGCCGCCUCCCGCUGCUGCGUGCUGAAAGCCGUGCUUGCUUUCCCACAAUCACGUGGUCUGGCUCCCAGAUCCGUGCUGCAGAACAACUCCGAAAUGGGGACAAUGAGAGUCUAAGAAUACAGAUGGGCUAUGAAUAGCUCCCGCUCACCACGCCUUUCCUGUGGACGAGGAAGGGCGCUAUAAACCCUUCUGUGGAAUCCACGUUGUAAUCCCCGCGUUGAACCCUGGAUUGUUGCUAGUGAGGACCGCAACCCCCAGAGGCUCAGGGAGAUUCAGUAGCUUGCUUCGGUGUUCACAGCUGGUAACGGGCGGCUAGGAGUUUAAACCCGGGUCAGCUUGGCUCCAGAGUCCAGAACCUUCAUGUCCCUGCCUUGGUAUGCACACCAGCUCCCAUGAGACGGAGCGAUGCCCUCCUCAAUGCUUCCCAGUUCCCUUGGCAGUCCAUCAGCUGGAAGGCUCUAUCUUACCUCACAACAGCGCCUGGCUCUUAGUACAAGUUCAACAACGAUUAAAUGAGUGAAGAAAUAAAUAACUAGAGUCUUAGUCUCACCUGACACUCCCACCCCCAACUGAUGGGCCUGGGGAAGGUCUCCAUAUCUAUCCUUCCUCCACUUUCACCAAUCAGGGCAAUAAUAUUGCUUGGAUGGGGUUCUUAUAAAGCAGGCUGAGACGCCAACGCCUAGGAAACAGAACUCCAGUCUCAAAGGGGUCAAUGGCAACAACGUACCAGCCUCACUGGGUUUGGCCCCCCACCUGCUCACACAGGCCUCAGUCCUCUGCAGAGCCCUGCCCAGUCCUUUUGGGAAUCCUGGGAGAAUAUGUCACGUGUUCCAGCAGUGGUCUCCAUGCGGUAUCUUCCGCUUCCCUCCUUUCCCUCUCAAGGCCCUCGCGAUGAUGUCCUCUCUGGGCACGGCCCCCUAGGCCGCCUCACCCUGCACCUGCACCCACCACAGGACUAUUGUCCACCAUGUUCAGGGCCGUCUCCUCUGAGAGUGGCCAGCCUUCACGGUGCCAGAGCCACUCUGUGUCCUGCUUAGACGUGAAAGGGCUGCUACCCUGCUCCGUGUCACACAUUCCAUCCUCUGGGGCUUGACCAGAUGAUGAUAUGAGUGCCCCAUGACUUACCAGGUCCUUUAGAAAUCCUCUCCUCCAGGGGCGCCUGGGUAACACAGUCGGUUGAGCGUCCGACUUCGGCUCAGGUCACGAUCUCA